GACGAACGCUGGCGGCGUGCCUAACACAUGCAAGUCGCACGGGACCGGGGCAACUCCGGUUCAGUGGCAGACGGGUGCGUAACACGUGAGGAACCUGUCCAACGGCGGGGGAUAGCCGGCCUAACGGCCGGGUAAUACCGCGUACGAUCGUCCGGGGGCGAUCCCUGGGCGAUGAAAGCAGCCGCAAGGUUGCGCCGAUGGAGGGCCUCGCGGCCUAUCA
RNAcentral lists this ribosomal RNA (220 nucleotides) under uncultured bacterium. RNAcentral describes it as "partial 16S ribosomal RNA". It matches the Rfam family "Bacterial small subunit ribosomal RNA", at positions 28 to 243 of the family's 1533-position model. The record is from RNAcentral.